Molecule: ribosomal RNA, 498 nt
Filed under: uncultured bacterium
Lineage: Bacteria
Description: partial 16S ribosomal RNA
Rfam family: Bacterial small subunit ribosomal RNA
Source: RNAcentral
AUUGAACGCUGGCGGCAUGCUUUACACAUGCAAGUCGAACGGUAACAGGCCGCAAGGUGCUGACGAGUGGCGAACGGGUGAGUAAUGCAUCGGAACGUGCCCAGUCGUGGGGGAUAACGCAGCGAAAGCUGUGCUAAUACCGCAUACGAUCUAUGGAUGAAAGCGGGGGACCGUAAGGCCUCGCGCGAUUGGAGCGGCCGAUGUCAGAUUAGGUAGUUGGUGGGGUAAAGGCCUACCAAGCCGACGAUCUGUAGCUGGUCUGAGAGGACGACCAGCCACACUGGGACUGAGACACGGCCCAGACUCCUACGGGAGGCAGCAGUGGGGAAUUUUGGACAAUGGGCGCAAGCCUGAUCCAGCAAUGCCGCGUGCAGGAAGAAGGCCUUCGGGUUGUAAACUGCUUUUGUACGGAACGAAACGGUCUGGGUUAAUACCCUGGGCUAAUGACGGUACCGUAAGAAUAAGCACCGGCUAACUACGUGCCAGCAGCCGCGGUAA